UCCUUAAUGUUGAAAGGCAAUUUGGCCUUCAACGCUCGGAGUAUAUCACGCGUUGCGACUGAACCAGGCAGCAGCAGACAACACGAAGAAACAAUUAAUUAAUAUUGUUGCCGAGAAACUGGAAAAAUGUAGGCCAGUAGGUAUUCAGCCUUCACAAUCUGUUGAGCCAAACAAUUUGGCAACUGAGUCCUUCUCUGUGUGGGGCAUAUUCGAUAAGUUAGUGAAACAUGCACAGCCACAGGGCACAGUACAGUCAUGUGCUAUUGUAGAGGUUCAAAGGUACAUUGACAGCUCAGUCAUCAGUAGAAAUGAGGAUCCUCUGGCAUGGUGAAGACAAAACCAAUACAUAUACCCAACCAUUGCAAAAGUAGUGAAAGAGAGGUUUAAUGUUGUAGCAACUUCUGUGCCUUGUGAGAGGGUCUUCUCAAAAACUGGACAUUUAAUAAAUGACAGAAGAACCCGCCUCAAGCCAUCGAAUAUAGAAAAACUAAUAUUUCUGAAUGCCAAUGGUACCUGUGAUUAGUGCUGAAAAUUCUGGACCCGUGUGAGGUUUGCUUCCAUGGAGGUAACUAGGCACUUUCAACACAAGCGAACAAGACCACACAACUGUAUGAUGCCUAUCAAUAUUACAACAUGUAACUGGGCACUUUCAACACAAGUGAACAAGACCACACAACUGUAUGAUGCCUAGCAAAAUGUAAAAUGUAACUGGGCACUUUCAACACAAGCAAGCAAGACCACACAACUGUAUGAUGCCUAGCAAAAUGUAAAAUAUGUAACUGGGCACUUUCAACACAAGCAAGCAAGACCACACAACUGUAUGAUGCCUAGCAAAAUGUAAAAUAUGUAACUGGGCACUUUCAACACAAGCAAACAAGACCACACAACUGUAUGAUGAUUAGCAAAAUGUAAAAUAUACACCUUUCACUUACUGCAAGUAUUUCACUUUGGCAUAAAUGUGAGUUACAUCUCUAGCAUCAAAAGAUUGGUAACACAGACCACUGAUAUCACUUCCAAGACUGUGUUUUCUUUGUCAUAUUAGUUUCUGUUUGUUGAAAAACACAGAUUUAGUUUUGUUGAUAUAUGCACGAAAGGUGACAGAGGAACAGGUCAUACUGGGAGCAGUAGGUCUGUGACUUGGAUGCAGCACAGUUACUGAUUUGAUGCCAUUAAGGCACAAAGCUUUGUAAUGAUUAAAAUGGUGAGUGAAUGUAAAUCCUGGAAGUGUUAUUUCUUUAUACUAAAACCUGCUACUUUAAGUUAUGUUUCAGAAAUUUCUUGAGCACCUCGACUUGAAAAAUAACAGGAAUACCAUCUAGAAUAUUACAAGUGAGGACAGUCAGUCAAUGAUAAUCCAAUGAUAAUCCAUGAGCUUAGGCUGAAGGAAAAAAAUUCUAUAUAUGUAAUAAAACUUGAUUGUAAUGUGUGAUGUUGUAGACAUACAAUAAUCUGUUUUGUGCUAUCUUUUCCAUAAUGAAUUUGGUGACAACAUGUGGAUCAAAACUGGAAUGAGCAAAGAAUACCAACCAAAUUUAAGACCCAAAAACCAGAAAGAGCCACCACCAGCGGUGGAACACACGCAAGUUUGAAAAAUUUGUUCCAAAUGCACAAUAAUAGUGAUUUUUUUUUCUUUUUGUUGUUGUUGAUUGUAGAUGUACAUAUAUGUUCCUGUCUCCUGCUAAAAAUGAACCAUCCCAACUAGCAAAUUUUACUUUGUUAUUUAGAACUUUUUUAAUUGCAUUAAUUAAGAGCCACCUGCACUUUGAGAGGACUAAAACUGUUGAGAUUUUAUUAUUCAUUCAAUAACAAGAUUAAUAUGUGGGGUAUGUGAAAUGUGUGUACAUGUUUGUUUUGCUCAUACUUGUACAAAUGUUUCAUGUAACCUGACGAGGCGAACCCAAGAUUCAAGAAGAAGAAGAAGAGGAGGAGGAGGAGGAGGAGGAGGAGGAAGAAGAAGAAGAGGAGGAGGAGGAGGAGGAGGAGGAAGAAGAAGAGGAUCCCUCAAGACUGCAACAUAAAAUAUUUAAUAUGUAGCACAACAACUGUACACAGUUGAUAACGUCCUUCUGGGGUUUUGAGGAGCUGGUUUUCCUUCAGACCGUGGGCAAAUGCCAGGACGUACAAGUUUCCAGCUCAGCUCAGAAAAUGCUCAUUUUCAUGAAUUUGUCAGUAAAAUGCUGUAGAUAAAUACCAACAGAAAAAUGCUUCCUGUAACACAGAUCUUUUAGUAAAAAAUGUGUCCUAAUAAGACAAGUUGUAACUUUUUUAAAUAUUUGCAGUCUGUGUAACUUGAAAAACUGAAUUAUGUAGAAGAAACAGCUUGUCUACAUAACAAUGUAACUGUAUUUACACCAGCAUUAUAUAAUUUAAUAUUUACUGACAAUGCCAUAUGUAAAACCAUAGAUAAAUAA
This is a long non-coding RNA of Schistocerca piceifrons (Central American locust), 2411 nucleotides long. RefSeq lists it as uncharacterized. The record is from RefSeq and is a predicted model, not a curated record. The transcript is spliced from 9 exons. NCBI's taxonomy places the organism in Eukaryota, Metazoa, Arthropoda, Insecta, Orthoptera, Acrididae.